RNAcentral lists this ribosomal RNA (464 nucleotides) under uncultured bacterium. RNAcentral's name for it is "partial 16S ribosomal RNA". It matches the Rfam family "Bacterial small subunit ribosomal RNA", at positions 28 to 506 of the family's 1533-position model. The record is from RNAcentral.
GAUGAACGCUGGCGGCGUGCUUAACACAUGCAAGUCGAACGGAAAGGCUCCUGCUUGCAGGGGUACUCGAGUGGCGAACGGGUGAGUAACACGUGGGUGAUCUGCCCUGCACUUCGGGAUAAGCCUGGGAAACUGGGUCUAAUACCGGAUAGGACGAUGGUUUGGAUGCCAUUGUGGAAAGUUUUUCGGUGUGGGAUGAGCUCGCGGCCUAUCAGCUUGUUGGUGGGGUAAUGGCCUACCAAGGCGUCGACGGGUAGCCGGCCUGAGAGGGUGUACGGCCACAUUGGGACUGAGAUACGGUCCAGACUCCUACGGGAGGCAGCAGUGGGGAAUAUUGCACAAUGGGCGCAAGCCUGAUGCAGCGACGCCGCGUGGGGGAUGACGGCCUUCGGGUUGUAAACUCCUUUCGCUAGGGACGAAGCGCAAGUGACGGUACCUGGAGAAGAAGCACCGGCUAACUACGU